This is a long non-coding RNA of Cygnus olor (mute swan), 1630 nucleotides long. RefSeq lists it as uncharacterized. NCBI's taxonomy places the organism in Eukaryota, Metazoa, Chordata, Aves, Anseriformes, Anatidae. The record is from RefSeq and is a predicted model, not a curated record. The transcript has 4 exons.
GGUGGAGAUGAAAACACCAACCCAAAGAAGAUAAUUAAAAGCUAAAUGAAACCACAUACAGCUGUGCUACUACAUGGCUAAUGAACAUGCAAAUAUAUACAUAUGACAAGGACAUAAUGCAGACUGGCUGCCUUGAGUGCUUAGUGCAGAUUUCCAAGAGCUGGAAAUGCUAUUGAUUAUAACUGAGCUAAACUUCCUGACUCCAGACUUCAAAGAUCAGCCUCAAUAUAAUCAUCACACAGCAUAUGGAAACAUGGCUGCUAGGCGCUGAUGAAUAAUGGCUCAGGGACCUGAACAUUUGCACGUAGGAUGGGAGAUGUCCUGUUGGCCGCUGAGAAGGCCUGGAGGCUUCUCGGCAGCCAGGACCAGUGCCAUAUAAUCCUCCUCGGUCUUGGCAUGCUCCAUCUUGCUGUCAGUUGAGAUUUUGGAGUAGUGGGUUUUAGUUGGGAUAUUUAUUUUUGCCUUCCCACUUCACUUGGCAAGACGCUGAUGUGUGGAGGACACAUUUCUGUGAGGACCAAGGCUGUAGGUAACAGACGUAAGGCAAAGCUUCUGGGCUCCUACAACAUAGCAGACACGAGCAAGAUGGACAGGUUCUCCUCUGAGGGCCUUCUUGUAUAUUGGCAUGAAAGAAGAUCAAAUCAGAUUUCUCUUAUUAGUUAAAAAAUACCAACCCAAUUCAAUUUACCAUGAGACUUCAAAUACAGAGAAAAAAUAAAUAAAAAUGAAAAGAAAAAGUUUGGAAACAUUGGAGUGUGGCCUUGAACUGAGUGAGACUAAGCAACCAUUGAUCCCGCUGAGCUUGCAUCCAGCCAGACUAUAAAAUGCAAAACAAAACUUGUUCCUCCUCCACAGUGACGCCCAAAACAGCACAUAGUCUUGGGGACUUUUGCAGGCCGUGUCUAGAAGAGCAGCAUGGAGAAUUGCAGAGCACCCUUGGACCUUGGUGUAGAAGAUGGCUGAGCCACCAGGACAGGAGAGAGGCCACCUACAGAAACCAAAUUUGUGCUGAACACAAUGCCAAAACUGUGAUGGAUGGGUGUGCGUGUUUGCUAUUGAGUAUACAGGACUACUCACAACACUCAAGGCAAAGAUGGAAGCUACUUCUCCCAUGAAGGGUAACCACAUGUGAAGAGAGAGAUUCCAAUUCAAGAUUUCUUACUGUGCCUUUGCCAGAGACAUUCCUAAGGAGAUGGAAACUCUCUGAAUGUGGAAUUUUCGCAUGAGUGCAAAAUAAUAAAAAGCAUGUGUGUAUUAAAAAGGGAUCAACUUAAUGGGAAAUGAGCAUUGGGUUACAUUAAUAUUCUAUUACAGUAAAAAUCAUAUUUAAUAAAUUUUCUCCAGAUUUUUCAGAAUCUUACUGUAUUUUUCUAAGUUGUAUGCCAAUCCAAAGAAACAGUGUAUAUGAUACAUUUGAUUUAUGUUAAGUAAAUAACCUGCACAGCCCAUUUUUGGGUUUUUAAAAAAAAUAUUAAGUGUAGAAACACACACCAGACUGAAAUGUGUGCUUAGUUUCCAUAUGCUAGGAGAAAUAGUGUUGGUCUUGUGCAGCAGAAAGCCUUUAUAAACAGUAUUCUAUUUUAUUGAUGCUAUAUGUGGAUUUUUAUGUUAUGUGGCAAGAGCACGAGAA